GGCGGCGCGACCCCCCAGCCCCGCGUUCCGGGGACGCGCGGGCCCCACCCGCGGGGCGCAGUCCUGGGAGUCCCUGCCCGGUGCGCGCGUGCCUGGGCAGGCAGCGUGGGGAUGCGAGCGAGCGGGGAUGCCGGGGGAAACAGGUGGAAUACGCUGGAAGAAGGCUGGUUGGGAAAGGCGGGGAGCAAGCUGGUCUGGUUCCCUAGGAGCCAGGGAUACUGGGGAAAGUCUCCAGAGGUAGAUGAUAGAUAAGUAGGUAGGUAGAUAGAUAGAUAGAUAGAUAGACAGACAGACAGACAGACAGACAGACAGAAGUGGGUAGAUAAUGGCCAGGGAUGAGAACACCGGAUAUAGAGACAUGGGAUGUCACACUGGCGAAUCAGAGCAGGCAGCAUGGCCUGGCAGAGAGCACAGAGGGCCCCAGCCCUGACAUUUCUUAUUGUCACCUCACACUGAACUCUGACCUCUCUGGGGCUCGGUUUCCCCCUCGUUCGAACUCCCACUCCAGUGUUCUGUCAGCACUGUUGGGAAAAGCUAAUGCCAUCACUGAAAAGUUAGUAGCACCUUAGAAAUAAAACUCAUGUUAGGAUGAAUUAAGCAGUCUGUCACUUUGAUUUUGACUCAUAACUUGAGAGAUCCCAGAUUCACUUAAAAGCACUCCAUACUUCUUAUUCUUUGCAAUUAAAGAUGAACUGGGUGUCCUCCAAAGUGUUUUGAUUCCCAGUUUGACUUACUUGAUUUGAACUCGGCGGAAGUGAAAUUUAACUUUUCAGAUGACUUUUGUGAUUUUUACACGUAAAAAGUUAAUUUGGGUGUUAAGGCAGCGUCAGUGUCAUUCCCAUGGAUGAGCAGUUUUACAAUUUCAUGAUUGAGAUUGUAAUUGGAGGUCAGUAGUCACAUAAAUAAAUGUUACCUAUAAAGAUCGUUAGACUCUAUGACCACAUGUUAUCUAUUUUUUCUUUUAAAUUAAGACACGAGAGAUGAAGCUAAAACCCUCUUUGGCAUCUUCAUACCUCUUUCCCUCCCUGUCCAAACAAAGGUCAUCCACUGACCACUUCGUGUUUCUUUGUGGACAUUUUCUGUGCAUUUACAUACUAAACAGACUCACAAACAACAUGUAAUUUUAUUGGUGGUUUUUAACAUAACUGAUAUCAUGCUAUAUGUAUACUUUUGCAACCUACAGAUCUGUCCAUGUUAGCAUUUAGUUAAUUAAUUUAUUUAUUUUAAGUUUAUUUUGUGUGAGAGAGAGAGAGAGAGCAUGAGAGGGGAGAGGGAGAGGGGUGUAGAGAGGGAGAGAUAGAAUAUCAAGCAGGCUCCAUGCUGCCAGCACAGAGCCUGACAGGGGCUCGAUCUCACUAACCAUGAGAUCAUGAUCUGAGCUGAAAUCAAGAGUUGGGAGCUUAACCAACUGAGCCACCCAGGCGUCCCUGUCCAUGUUAGUAUUUAAGAUAGAUUUACUUCUUUUUCUUUUUGCCCUGUUGCAUGACUUUCCACAAUAUAUGAAUAUGCCAAAGUUAAUUGAAUCAUCCCCCUGUUAAUUUACACUUAGGUGACUUAGUGUUUUACAUUCUAAAGGAUUUUGUGAGCCGUGUAAUCUCUUCAUGUAGCUGGUUCUAACAAAAAUGCACUUUGCAUAGACUAGGAAUGCCCAACCCAAUACUUCUGAGCAUGCUAUAGUAAUCUCAUUUAAGUCAAUGUAAAUUGUCUACCAACUUUAAUACAGGAGCAAAUAAGUCCAACAAGCAAGAAACCUAAAGGGAGUAUAUGUUGUGGGAAGUGUAUGUUGAGGCAGAGGUCCAGAGCAGGGUUUGCACAUCCUUCCAGACUCCAAAGAAGAGGUGAGGUUGGGGAAGGAUGGAGAAAGAGGGGUAUGUAACAAUCAGCCUGAAAAAGUGAUGCUCUAUGAUCAUGCAACCUCUAAUUAUACCAGUUUCUAAUUAUGUUGUCAUAUUCCCUUAUUCUUUUUUUUACAUGUAAAAUUUCUGUCUUGAAUUUGGCCAAAUCUUGGUGAUUUUCUUGCUGAUACUACAAUUAAUUCAUUUGUAUUAUUUUUAUCAUCACUUGAAGCAAGUCUUUGUUACUAUUUAUAAGAAUUAUCCUUUCCAUUGCACUUGCUGAAUUACAUAAAAAGUGUCAUUAGAAACCAUGAAAUGUCUGUAGAGAAAAGGAAUCAUAAGUUAACCAGUAACUCGUCCAAAGAGUGCCAGCCAGCAAGGCUCCCUCCACAGGGAACUCUGGCAUUGGGCAGGGCACUUGACCUCUCUGAACCUCAGUUUUCUCAUCUGUAAAAUGAGGCUGAAACCCCUGGUGAGGCCAGCAGGUAAGAUAAUGAGUCAGGCCAUGGAGUAGGGGCCAGUCUUCAGGGCCAACCAUUUGUGGGCAUUCUAGACUCCAAGAUCAAUAAUGCCAGAAUCCCUGCUUUUCUCAGCGGAGAAGCAGGGGCAGUUGGGGGGGGGGGGGGGCGUGGUAGUGUCCAAUUUCCAUUAGAAAUCUCUCAAAGUCUAGAUGUUAGCAAAUAAGUCAAAACUUUACAAAACACACCAUAUUUUUUUGUAAAGGGCUAAAUAAACUUGGGGCCAAAUAAUGUGUAAGUGCCGGCUAAAUUGAGCCUUUGGGCCACGGUAUUUAUCAUCUUGGUGCUGCACUAGUUACAAACAUCAUUUUGCUCUAAAUUUCUGCAAUUUGAUUUUAGCAGUUUCUCAAAACAGGGAGAGAGUAGCGAUGUUGAGCCCACAUUCUGAGUUCAGACUGGGUGGAACUGUCCACCCACACAGUUUGUUCUGAAGUGCCCUGAGUGAAAACCAGUCCCUGGCCUGUCUGUUCAGCUCAUCCUCUGGUUCUACUGCCAUGGCCAGGCCCAGCUCAGCAACUUGAACCUGGGAGGUACAUUGCUGUUGCCUCAGGCAAUAAAUAGAUUUAGGAGAUGGGCUGGAGACAGCUCCUCCUUUGAUAUCUGCAGAAGGUGAGGCUCAUGGUUUGAGGUAUGGUUUAUCGUUCUUUUUGCCUUAAAGUUCCAGACAGAGCAGAAAUACAGCAAGCAAAUAUCAGGAGCUGAAUAACAGCUGCAUUUAGGGAAGAUGCUUUCUCAACUGGUUUCAUGUUUAAAUUUUAAGAAUGAAGUUGAAACAAACAGAAAGUGUAACAGACACCAAUUUAUUCAUCCCUGAGAUUAGGCAAGUAUUAAUAGGCUUUGACCCAUUUGUUCUCAGGUCUCUCCCUUUAGGGAAAACAACAUGUAUAUAUAUAAAAAGUCAUCCACAUGUUCUUUGCCCCCUCUUUUGUGCACAGUUCUGUAUUUAUCCAUUUUGUGUGUGUGUGUGUGUGUGUUAGUCACUAUGAAAAAUAAAUGUUUUCGUUUUGUGGUCCUUCAAAUGCAAUAAAUGGUUUCACAUUCAUAAGCUUGCUCCCCUCACUCCAUAUUACGGUUUUGGAUUUUAUCCAUGUUGAUACAUAUAGAUGUGACUCACGUAUACACAUAUGGAUGUGAUGGUUGAUGCAUAGUAUCCAGUUAUACAAAUAAAGCACAGUCUAUUUUUCCAUUCCCCCCGAGCACAGGAAGUUGGUUUCCAUGGUUUUGUUUUACAAAGUCGCGACAACAUAACUGCUCCGUGUAGGUACCAUUGUGACAACUAGAUUUGGAAUUCCUAGGUAGAAUUCAAAGGGAAAGCAUACUUUAAGUUGCAUGAAGAAUUGCCAAACAGACUCCAAAAUGGUGGAGCCAAUAAUGUGCCAGAGUAUCUGCUUCCCCACAUCCUCAGCAAAACUUGAUGUGUUUCGAUGUUAGAUAUUUUGUUGUUACAUGAACUUCUCAAGGAAAAUUUCUACAAGCGGAAGUUGAGAAAUUUGCAGUAUUUUCCCUCGAAUCAAAUGUCAAAGCAUAUCUGGAGAGACCCAAAACAACAAGGUGACAGUUGGGCUUAGGAUCUCUUGGACUUUUCUCUAGGUUUCUUGAAGGCCAAUCUGCCUUGAACCAUGCAUCGGAAUGAAACUAAAUUGAUUUCCUUAUAUCAAGUUGAGCAGUAGCUUGGUAAGCACGAUAGUACAACCUCAGUAGAUUGUAUAAUGACUGCAUUCUAAUCUCAGAAGCAAAUGCAGUUGCAGGGGAAAAAAAUCAAAUGGAGAUAAAGAAAAGACCUUAAGACUCCACGAUUUUGUAAAGGAGGAAAAUGUUGGAGAUUUUGACCUACACCCGUUGAAACAAAAUAUCACCUGGACCCGUUUUGAACCUCAUCAUACAUAUGACUCCUAAACUUUUUAUGUAAUCAGGUUAGCACGAAUGCAAAGCGUUUAACAUGUUCCGAUGCAAAACCAGAAGACGAAUUCCAAUUAUUCUUAACAUCCGCCCACUAACAUACCGUAAAUGAUUUACUUGGGAAUCUAUUGCAAUAAAGUUCACCUUCAGAAAGUGGCAGUCAGAAAAGCUUCACGAAAACCAGACUUGUUUUCACAUCGAAACUGCUGUGCUUUUUCAUUUGGAGAAAUCACUGACUUGCUCUAAAUAGAGUGGGCUCUUUGUUGUUGUUAUUAUAAGCUUUCCUUGGCCUAGAAUUUUCCUGUUUAUUCACUAUGAGGAAGAGCGUGCGUUGUGUUUCUAACAUUGGAGUGGUGGUUCCUAACUCUGUAGGCGUAUUGAAGGUAGUGAUGUUCAUCAUAAUCACCACAAUGAGCUGUGACCCCCGAAGAGGUGAUCUCCAGUGAUCUGUAUCUGGGGCUUUCCGGAGAAGUACAACUGGGCACAGCUGUGCAUUAGAAUAAAUUAAGGGCUUCUUAAUUACAUUCAUAUUUUCUCCCUGAACUCUUAAGUCCAUCAUUUCUCACCAUUUUUGCCAUGAGGACCCUUUGCCCCUGCAAAACUUUUUAACAGAGACAAACAUAUUUGAGAGGAUAGUUAGAAAGUCAGUCUUUACGUAACUCAUGCCACCCACAGCCAGCUGCGUGGCCCUGGCUGAGUUGGUGAACUUUGUUUCCCUUAUUUGUAAAAGGGGGACAACAGGAUAGACCUGUGGGUUUAUAUAUAUGAUAACAAUUACGUACAAUGGUGUCUCUAAAUGCUUAGCGUGUGCCUAGCACGUUAGGCGCUCAGUAGGUAUUCGUGGUGGUGAAGGGUGAUAUUUGGCAGCCGUUUGACCAAACCUUCAUCUGGCUUCUACCUACCGGAACCCACCAGUCAAAAGUCUUUACCCUUUGCUUUACAGUCUCUUGCUGUACAACUGAGAGAUCAGUCGGGCUAUUCAUUUUUUAAUAUGAGACUCUGAUGAUAUCACAAAGUCUUUGCUUUAAUUUUUUAUUCCAGUUUAACAACAGGAACAAAUAUAAAUGACAUUGUACUCGCAGACAUUGGAUUUUUGAAAGAUUUGACUUUUGAACGUACGUGAAGUAAUUUCUGUGUAAAUAGAUUCUUGAGUGUUAUGCAUUUUCCGAAGGAAAUAGAGUGGUUCUGUUUGUUUGCUUACUUGCUUUGCCAUUUUUUAAAAAGAUUUGGAAGUACAUAUAUAAACAUCUUGAAUUGUGCUGCUUAAAAUAAGCAUUUGGGGCCAAAGAGCCCGGGAUAACAGUGACCAGCCUAAGAACAGGGUGAAUCUGGGGAAUUUCUGAGAACCUGGUGGCCCAGGAACAUCUGAAUGUUCCAAGCAGAGACCAGACCAAAGUAGUGGGUGGGAAUAAGGGCAACACAGAUCAGAAGGCUCAUUGGAAUUCAUCUGACUUCAGAGUUUAGGUCAAGCUUAGGUAGAGGAUUGACUCAAACUUGGUGGUUAUCAUACUUGGCCAGAAGAACCUAAACAAAGAGGAGACAGUAUGUCUAAGGUCAGUAGGGGGGGGGGCAGAUGGAAACCAGGUGACACGAGAAAUCAGAGUGUAGUGACAUCUGCUCUUUUUUCCUGACCUCUCUCCUGUCCCCCUCUGGUGGUGGCAUGUCGAUUUUACUUGAGGGAGCUAUCAUCCCCUCAUUGCCAAGGGCGUGGGCACAUGACCUCAGCUGAGCCAGUAAGUGCCCUCCCCCAGGAAUUCGGAUCUUCAACUGAAAACGCAAGGAGCUUAUUCAUCCUGACAGCAGUGCCCUGAAAAACUUUCCGUUCGUUUUUGUACCUUGAUCCCCACAACGGCCCUGAGGCUGGUCUUUUCUGAGGCCUGUUUAUUUAACUUUUCUUCAACUUCUGUGUGCUGCCCCAUGUCAUUCCAACAAAUUCCUCUUUUAUCAUUGAGUUAGCCUAAAUAAUUUCUGUUGCUUGCCACCAAAGAACCCUGGCAAGGGUUCAGGAAUCCAGACAACAGUCUGGCCAGCAGAACUGGUGGGUCAGCAACCUUCUCCCCUGGCCAAGAAGCCUCUUAUAUUAACAUGUGAGGAGAGAGUUACCCUCAGGAGCAACAAAUGCAGGCCAGCAAGUGCACAUGGGUGAACUCUUGCUAGGAAACUGAUCUGGCGGUUGCCCAAGGUGGACUGGGGGAAUGUGAGAACUGAGUUACUGGUUAAUCAUUGCUUAUCACCAAAUUAUGAGGCACUUUCUGUUUUGAAUGCAUCUAGUAUGAGUGCCAGCCCAGGUAAAAUCAAUGUUGACUCAAUCAAUCUAUUAAAAAAAGUGGAAACUAUUGAAAUGUCUCUUCCCAGAAGAUGUCACUUGGAAUAACACCUUGACUUAGACCCUCAUCAAAGUAACCUUCCUUGCCAGCUUGGUUUCAGCCCUCUGCCUUGCUGAUCCAGGCCCCUUGAGCAGUUAUGGUCCUUGCCUUUUGUACCAAGAAGGAUCCGGUCAAAAUUUUUGCUGCACGCUGUCCUUUGGUAUUCAUUUCUAAGUCUAUUGUCAUGAAAUAUGUCUUUGCACUUUGCAGGGCAUGCCUUUUCUUCACCAGCAAAUUAUUUUCUUUAGCUGCUUCAAAUAAUUUAAUCUGAACACAUUUGGAGGUCAUACACAGAACCAAACAAACCAAAUAAAGCGUUUGAAGUAUAUGAAAAAAACCUAACCCCGUUUUUUUCAUCACGCACAUUUUGGAAAAAUUCUCUACACACGGGCGUACACAUUCUUGACCCUUAUGCCGCCUGGCUGUUCCAUUGGACUUUUGACAUUAGGUUGAAUUUGUUUUUUAGAAGUGGAUUCGGCCAACCAAAUUGUAAAAAAAAAAAUCAAAAGCUUCUGGCCAAGUGCAAGGUUUAGUUGAUUACUGAUUAAAUGGAGAAUGGGUAGCUUGAGGUGAAUUGCCCCAGGGCUCUCAGCGAUUAGCCCAGGUGGUUAGCACUUGGUACUACUAGUCAGUGUACAAAGAUCACGUAACAUCUCCAUAUGGCCUGGUUGACCUCUGGCUGUCUGAGAAAAAGUGGUGUUUGCUCUUGUGCGUAUGGCGAAACGGUCACUGCUGCUCCGGGAGGAAUAUAAAUGUAACUCGAAGAUGGUGUGUUCACCUUCGAAUAUAAAAAGGAUGUAUUAUAUUUCAUUUGUCAGACGGUGCACCCGUUUUCCCCCAUUCCCAUCAUCAUAUUACUGUCUUUACCUUUUAUGCGUAUUUGGCCCUCUUGAGACCAGAGGGUGAGGGCCUGCUCCAUGGGUACUUAUGGUCCCCACAGAAGAGGGUGAAUAUAUUCCCCAUCACUAGCCAGGGAAGAAGUACAAAGGAAAGCGAAAUUCAGAAAGAAAGCCUUAGGCCAGUUCUCAUCGUUUAGUCUGUGCAAUAGUCCUCUGUGGCGCUUAUUUUAAAGGGCAGGUUUCCUGGCAAAAUCCUCAUGCUGUGGCCUGGGAAUCUGCACUCGUCACAUCUCAGAUGAUUCCUGGUUUUAUUAGGGAGCAAGCAGGUUCCCCUAUUUGUAGAUUUUAAUAUAAUUGAUAUACCAUGCGGGGAGUGUAGACUAUCCAUUUUUGAGAGGUAUUCUAUGAGAUAAAAUAUCCUCGCUUCAAGACACAAAUGAAGAAUCAUAAAGCUUCCCUUCCUAAUUGUUUGUCAUACCUCAACUUUGAGAAUCAUAUUAAUAUUUGCCUUACAGAUUCACUUUGCCACACCUCAUGUUAAUUAUUCAGUUAUGUUUUGGACAGUGUGAAAUAUACGUGAAUCUAUGUAACAAGUUGUGUAAUAAUUAGACUUAAUUGUGUGAAGGUUGAAUAAAAAUACAAUUAAUUUCAUUGGAAAUAAAAGCUAGUGUUUGGUCAUCAGUAUAAUUCACUAUAGAAAACAGAUGCAUCUUAGAAAAGGCCCUAGGCAAGAAUUUUUUCAAAAAUCAAACUGUAGAUAACUUACAUCUUCAAAGAAAUUUUGAACCCAUCAAGAAAUAAGCUUUAAGAAUCAGCCCUAUAUUUAGUACUUACUGUAAACACACUUGGCAGGAAAAUUAAAUAAUAGUACAUCGGUACUAUCAAUGCAGAGCCAAAAUGUAGAGAGAAUGAAGAAAAUUAAUUUUUUGUGGUUGUCAAUAGGACAGACAAUUCCACCUGGAACAGCUAGUUAGAAACUACUUGGAACAGCUGCCCUCAUAGAAGGUCUUCUCACUUUUUAGAUAGACACUUUCCAGAUAUUUUCAGUACGCAUGGUGCAACUGCAGGUGCCUGACCGUGCAUCCCUCCCAUCCUGUAAUCAUGACGGCACAUUGUCUUUAAAAGUUCGG
Molecule: long non-coding RNA, 8587 nt
Organism: Acinonyx jubatus (cheetah)
Lineage: Eukaryota; Metazoa; Chordata; Mammalia; Carnivora; Felidae
Exons: 4
Source: RefSeq, a predicted model, not a curated record